RNAcentral lists this ribosomal RNA (460 nucleotides) under uncultured bacterium. RNAcentral's name for it is "partial 16S ribosomal RNA". It matches the Rfam family "Bacterial small subunit ribosomal RNA", at positions 338 to 795 of the family's 1533-position model. The record is from RNAcentral.
CCUACGGGAGUCAGCAGUGAGGAAUAUUGGUCAAUGGGCGGAAGCCUGAACCAGCCAAGUAGCGUGCAGGAUGACGGCCCUACGGGUUGUAAACUGCUUUUAUACGGGAAUAACGCGCCUUACGUGUAGGGCUUUGCAUGUACCGUAUGAAUAAGGACCGGCUAAUUCCGUGCCAGCAGCCGCGGUAAUACGGAAGGUCCGGGCGUUAUCCGGAUUUAUUGGUUUUAAAGGGAGCGUAGGCCGCAUGUCAAGCGUGCUGUGAAAUGGCGGGGCUCAACCCGGGCCUUGCAGCGCGAACUGGCGUGCGUGAGUCCGCGGAAAGCAGGCGGAAUUCGUCGUGUAGCGGUGCAAUGCUUAGAUAUGACGAAGAACCCCGAUUGCGAAGGCAGCUUGCUGCAGCGGAACUGACGCUGAUGCUCGAAAGCGCGGGUAUCGAACAGGAUUAGAUACCCUGGUAGUC